UGGGGAAUAUUGGACAAUGGGGGGAACCCUGAUCCAGCCAUGCCGCGUGUGUGAAGAAGGCCCUCGGGUUGUAAAGCACUUUCAGUGAGGAAGAACGCCUGGUGGUUAAUACCCAUCAGGAAAGACAUCACUCACAGAAGAAGCACCGGCUAACUCCGUGCCAGCAGCCGCGGUAAUACGGAGGGUGCGAGCGUUAAUCGGAAUUACUGGGCGUAAAGCGCGCGUAGGUGGCUUGAUAAGCCGGUUGUGAAAGCCCCGGGCUCAACCUGGGAACGGCAUCCGGAACUGUCAGGCUAGAGUGCAGGAGAGGAAGGUAGAAUUCCCGGUGUAGCGGUGAAAUGCGUAGAGAUCGGGAGGAAUACCAGUGGCGAAGGCGGCCUUCUGGACUGACACUGACGCUGAGGUGCGAAAGCGUGGGUAGCAAACA
RNAcentral lists this ribosomal RNA (427 nucleotides) under uncultured Halomonas sp. RNAcentral describes it as "bacterial SSU rRNA". It matches the Rfam family "Bacterial small subunit ribosomal RNA", at positions 355 to 774 of the family's 1533-position model. The record is from RNAcentral. Lineage: Bacteria; Pseudomonadati; Pseudomonadota; Gammaproteobacteria; Oceanospirillales; Halomonadaceae.